GGCCACGGGCUGGUGGUGGCCCGCCGGGCCCUGCGCAGGUUCUUGUUCCGGCAGCUCCUGCUGGCAACACGGGGUGGCCCCGAGGGCAAGGAGCAGUCGGUACUGGCCCCCCAGCCUGGGCCCGGGCCCCCCUUUGCCCUCAAGCCCUCGACCUUCCUGCACCUCUACAUCAGCAACACCCCCGAGGGAGCUGCUCAUGACAUCUACCUCCCACCAUCCGCCGAGGGCAGCUUCCUGCACAGCCCAUCCCUCCGCCUGCAGGCCCACAUCCGCGGCGAGCUGAGGCCCGUGUGCCACGUGGCGCCCGCGCUGCGCGACACCCACGUGGGCUGCCUCUCCGCCAGUGACAA
Long non-coding RNA from Suricata suricatta (meerkat), 350 nucleotides. RefSeq lists it as uncharacterized. The transcript has 3 exons. The record is from RefSeq and is a predicted model, not a curated record. NCBI's taxonomy places the organism in Eukaryota, Metazoa, Chordata, Mammalia, Carnivora, Herpestidae.